UCCGGUGAUCCUGCCGGAGGUUACUGCUAUCGGUGUUCGCUAAGCCAUGCGAGUCAUAUGUAGCAAUACAUGGCGUACUGCUCAGUAACACGUGGAUAACCUGCCUUGGGACCGGCAUAACCCCGGGAAACUGGGGAUAAUUCCGGAUAACGCAUAUGUGCUGGAAUGCUUUAUGCGUAAAAUGGAUUCGUCUGCCCAAGGAUGGGUCUGCGGCCUAUCAGGUAGUAGUGGGUGUAAUGUACCUACUAGCCAGCGACGGGUACGGGUUGUGAGAGCAAGAGCCCGGAGAUGGAUUCUGAGACAUGAAUCCAGGCCCUACGGGGCGCAGCAGGCGCGAAAACUUUACAAUGCGGGAAACCGUGAUAAGGGGACACCGAGUGCCAGCAUCAUAUGCUGGCUGUCCAGGUGUGUAAAAUACACCUGUUAGCAAGGGCCGGGCAAGACCGGUGCCAGCCGCCGCGGUAACACCGGCGGCCCGAGUGGUGAUCGUGAUUAUUGGGUCUAAAGGGUCCGUAGCCGGUUUGGUCAGUCCUCCGGGAAAUCUGAUAGCUCAACUAUUAGGCUUUCGGGGGAUACUGCCAGACUUGGAACCGGGAGAGGUAAGAGGUAC
This 610-nucleotide ribosomal RNA is filed under the name uncultured archaeon. RNAcentral's name for it is "bacterial SSU rRNA". It matches the Rfam family "Archaeal small subunit ribosomal RNA", at positions 1 to 618 of the family's 1478-position model. The record is from RNAcentral.